GGCAUAUGGAAGUUCCCAGGCUAGGAGUCGAAUCAGAGUUAUAGCCUCCAGCCUACACCACAGCCACAGCAACACAGGAUCUGAGGCAUGCCUGCGACCUACACCACAGCUCACGGUUAACUGCUAAGCCACGAAGGGAAUUCCGAAGCAUCAGUAUUGAUUGUCCGAGUUUUUCGGGAUACCCUUAUCAAUAAGUUAUCCUCGACUAUGAGUUAUUCUCACAAAUGUUCACUGGUAAGGAUGACACCAAAGUUGACACAUCAUUGCAUGUUCCAACAUGCUGGAGGCACAAACAGUAGGUCAUUACAAAUUCCAGCAGCUACUCUUUCUCCUAGAGAGGUGUGCCAAGUACGACUUGUAGUCCAAAGGAGGAGAAAGGACUAUUUCUCUUUCUAGAUACCAAUGGCUAUAAGAAAUAACCUUUGUCUAUAGCAGCUACAGAGAGAACAAACAAGAUCUAAAGUUAGCAGAAGGAAAGAAAUCAUAAAGAUCAGAGCAGAAAUCAAUGAAAUAGAAAUGAAGAAAACCACAGAAAAGAUCAAUGAAACAAAAAGCUGGUUUUCUGAAAAGAUCAGCAAAAUUGAUGAACCCUUAGCCAGACUUAUCAAGAAAAACAAAGAGAGGACUCAAAUCAAUAAAAUUAGAAAUGAAAAAGAAGUUAUACCAGACAUCACAGAAACACAAAGGAUCAUAAGAGACUACUACAUGCAAAUCUAUGCAAAUAAAACGGAAAGCCUAGAAGAAAUGGACAAAUUCUUAGAAAAGAAAUACCUUUGGGGGAAAUACUUUGCUCAAAGCAGAGAACUUGUUUUGCUGUUUAACUUGUUCUGGCUCCAAGGGGUUCCACUUUCCUAACUCCCACUGACUAUAUAGAGAGUGAUCUGUAACUUUGAUUCAUUAUGUUUCAGAGUUUUGUUCAACUUAAAAAAAAAAAUUAGAAGCCCUGCCCAGUCCCGUGGGAAACCCAAACAACCUGUCUGAAGCCAGUAAGGCACCAGUAAUGGAGUUUCAGACACACAGAAUGAGACCAGCCCCAUCCGCAGAAAUACAAUGUGAGACACCUAUAUCACUUACAUUUUUCUAGUAAACACAUGUUAAAAAGUAAAAAGAAACAGGUGAAAUUAAUGAUAAUUAUUCUAUUUAGCCAAUGUAUCAAAAUAUAUUGAAACCCAUAUACUAUCCCUUCAACAGUGCUCAACAGCCGCAUGUUGUUAGCAGAACUAACACAGGAACAGUGGGGUCAGAGCCGUAAUAUCCCAAAGUUCUCCAGUUAGGGUUUGGUUUGGCUUUAACAACAAAUUUACUAAGUGAUCAAUCCCACUGCCCAGGGCUUCCUGAAUACUAUUCCUGGAAACUGACUACUAACAAGAGUUCUCAAUGUUUUAAUAAGUUAUUCUGCUAACCACUAUUUCGUAAAUAAACCUGUUUCGGUGGCAGGUCUUUUAUUUGUGCACGUGCGUUAAUGCAGACAAAACACAAAACCCGUACAACUCAACAGUUCUGAUGAUGAGAAACCUUAUUAAAACCUUCUUAGCCACAAGGAAAAGGGCAUUUUAAAAAGGCAAGGGUGAAAUGCGGGCUGAGCUGUAUCUCUAGAUAAAGUGAUCCAGCUACUGGUACAUCUGAAACAAAACAACCUCAGCAUGCACUGGUCCAGGGCUGUCACAUGAUCAUGAAGCAGCUACACCUUCUUCUUCUUUUUUUCUUUUUUUUAAGGGCCGCACCUGCAGCAUGUGGAAGUUCCCAGGCUAGGGGUUGAAUCAGAGCUACAGCUGCCAGUGUAUACCAUAGCCACGCCAGAUCUGAGCCACAUCUGCAACCUACACCACAACUUUGGCAACGCCAGAUCCUUAAGCCACUGAGCAAGGCCAGGGAUCGAACCCGCAUCUUCAUGGUUCCUAGUAGGAUUUGUUAACCACUAAUCCACGAAGGGAACUCCCAGCUACACCUUCUGAAACCAUUACAAACCCUCUCGGUCUAACAAAGACCAGUCACUAUUUCACUGAAAGUGCUUCCUCCUAACUAUCAAGCCUUCUCUCCAGGUUCUCUCUGACACAAACGUCUCCUUGCCAAACAUGACGUGAAGGUGAGAGACCCUCCUCUCGUGGGCCCCCCAAAUCACCUGGGACUGGUAGUUGGAGGCAGCCGUGACACACAUGAAAAUAAAUAGUGUACUUCUGGUGAACAAGGAGAUUAAGAGAGGGUAGAGGGAAAAGGUGGAGAGAAUGCAAAACAAGAGAAUGAAAGAAAAGCAAAUGAAUUAAGUAAUUUUAAAAAAAGAAGUAUUUGUUCUCUCUCAACAUCUAAGGAAAGGAGGGAGGAAGGGAGGGAGGAAGGAAGGAAGGAAGGAAAUGAAGCACUAAAAAUGAAGUACUAGCCUAAAGGUCAACUCUAGUUAAUAAUAAAAUCCAGGGUGAGUGUCUUAAUGCUUGAGUGAGGCAGCACACAAGCUUUCUGAUAUAACUAACUCAAGUGGAUUCACCAUGAAGCUAAUGAUGCUUAAGCAGCAAGGACCCUUUCAAAGCCCUGGGAAGAGCUCUAAUAUUUUUCCUAUGGUCACAUGUCCACAAAAUUUGCAUGCACACAUUAACACACACAAAGAUACUAUAAUCAGAAUCUUUUUAAGACUAUCUUUUUUCCAUUUUGGCUUCCACCUUAGUAGAUCUGUAUGGAAGUGGGACAGGGUAUAUUUUAAGAAUGUGGCUAAGGAGGAGUCAGGAAUACACUUACUUUGGGGUUUCGUGGAAUAUAUCUCUGAGGUUCACGGUCACCUCUGUGUAUUGUUAUGUCAUUGCUAGCUACCAUCACAGUGUAAAAAGGACUUCCAGGCACAACACUGACUCAGUGUCAUGACAUGAAGAUGUGAGACCAGCGGGCACAUGAUAAGAAUAUGUCCCAUGGCAUUCAGUACAAGAAUUAUGUGGGCACAAGAAGAGAACCAGGGUUUAAACUGUACAGAGGUCUAUGGAGAAAAAUCUUCCAACCCUCAGACAGGUCAAGUCAGAAGCUGAGGAUUUGCUCCUCAUCAACAUCUAGUCAAAGUUCUCCUACCAUGAAUACACUUGAUAAUGAAACAGAUAAGAUGAGAAAUGAACCACACUUUUUUUUUUUUUUGGUCUUUUUAGGACUCCACUUGAGGCAUAUGGAAGUUCCCAGGCUAGGAGUCAAAUCAGAGCUGCAGCUGUCAGCCUACACCACAGCCACAGCAACACAGGAUCCGAGCUGCACCUUUGACCUACACCGCAGCUUAUAGGAACACUGGAUCCUUAAUCCACUGAGUGAGGCCAGGGAUCGAUCGAACCCAUAACCUCACUGUUACUAGUCAGAUUCAUUUCCUCUGCACCACAACGGGAACUCCAUGAACCAUACAUUUUUAAGUAGGCAGUAUGUGAAAUCAAUGAUCAAAAUUCUGGGCUCAGUGGGCUAAUGAGCCCAACUAGAAUCCAUGAGGACACAGGUUUGAUCUCUGGCCUCGCUCAGUAUGUUAAGGAUCCAGCAUUGCCAUGAGCUGUGGUGUAGUUUCAGACGCAGCUCAGAUCCCAUGUUGCUGUGGCUCUGGUGUAGGCCAGUGGCUACAGCUCAGAUUCAACCCCUAGCCUGGGAACCU
RNAcentral lists this long non-coding RNA (3607 nucleotides) under Sus scrofa (pig). RNAcentral's name for it is "lncRNA (ENSSSCG00065071453.1)". The record is from RNAcentral. Lineage: Eukaryota; Metazoa; Chordata; Mammalia; Artiodactyla; Suidae.